This 533-nucleotide ribosomal RNA is filed under the name Dothiora sp. RNAcentral's name for it is "partial large subunit ribosomal RNA". It matches the Rfam family "Eukaryotic large subunit ribosomal RNA", at positions 112 to 658 of the family's 3401-position model. Lineage: Eukaryota; Fungi; Ascomycota; Dothideomycetes; Dothideales; Dothioraceae. The record is from RNAcentral.
AAUUUGAAAGCUGGCCUUAUGGUCCGCAUUGUAAUUUGUAGAGGAUGCUUUUAGGCAGCCGCCGGUCUAAGUUCCUUGGAACAGGACGUCAUAGAGGGUGAGAAUCCCGUAUGUGACCGGCUCUGGCACCUUAUGUAAAGCUCCUUCGACGAGUCGAGUUGUUUGGGAAUGCAGCUCUAAAUGGGAGGUAAAUUUCUUCUAAAGCUAAAUACUGGCGAGAGACCGAUAGCGCACAAGUAGAGUGAUCGAAAGAUGAAAAGCACUUUGGAAAGAGAGUUAAAAAGCACGUGAAAUUGUUGAAAGGGAAGCGCUUGCAAUCAGACUUGGACUUGGCUGUUCAACCGGUCUUCUGACCGGCCCACUCAGUCUUGUCCAGGCCAGCAUCAGUUUCGGCGGCCGGAUAAAGGCCCUGGGAAUGUGGCUGUUCCUUCGGGGACAGUGUUAUAGCCCAGGGUGUAAUACGGCCAGCUGGGACUGAGGUCCGCGCUUCGGCUAGGAUGCUGGCGUAAUGGUUGUAAGCGGCCCGUCUUGAA